Molecule: ribosomal RNA, 460 nt
Filed under: uncultured bacterium
Lineage: Bacteria
Description: partial 16S ribosomal RNA
Rfam family: Bacterial small subunit ribosomal RNA
Source: RNAcentral
CCUACGGGGGGCAGCAGUGAGGAAUAUUGGUCAAUGGGCGCGAGCCUGAACCAGCCAAGUAGCGUGCAGGAUGACUGCCCUACGGGUUGUAAACUUCUUUUAUAAAGGAAUAAAGUGAGGCACGUGUGCCUUUUUGUAUGUACUUCAUGAAUAAGGAUCGGCUAAAUCUGUGCCAGCAGCCGCGGUAAUACGGAGGAUCCGAGCGUUAUCCGGAGUUAUUGGGUUUAAAGGGAGCGUAGGUGGGUUGUUAAGUCAGUUGUGAAUGUUUGCGGAUCAACCGUAAAAUUGCAAGUGAUACUGGCAGUCUUGAGUACAGUUGGGGUAGGCGGAAUUCGUGGUGUAGCGGUGAAAUGCUUAGAUAUCACGAAGAACUCCGAUUGCGAAGGCAGGUUACUGGGCUGCCACUGACAUUGAGGCUCGAAAGUGUGGGUAUCAAACAGGAUUAGAUACCCCAGUAGUC